This 508-nucleotide ribosomal RNA is filed under the name uncultured bacterium. RNAcentral's name for it is "partial 16S ribosomal RNA". It matches the Rfam family "Bacterial small subunit ribosomal RNA", at positions 30 to 523 of the family's 1533-position model. The record is from RNAcentral.
AUUGAACGCUGGCGGCAUGCCUUACACAUGCAAGUCGAACGGCAGCGGGGGAGAAGCUUGCUUUUCCUGCCGGCGAGUGGCGAACGGGUGAGUAAUACAUCGGAACGUGCCCUGUAGUGGGGGAUAACUAGUCGAAAGAUUAGCUAAUACCGCAUACGACCUGAGGGUGAAAGUGGGGGACCGCAAGGCCUCAUGCUAUAGGAGCGGCCGAUGUCUGAUUAGCUAGUUGGUGGGGUAAAGGCCUACCAAGGCGACGAUCAGUAGCUGGUCUGAGAGGACGAUCAGCCACACUGGGACUGAGACACGGCCCAGACUCCUACGGGAGGCAGCAGUGGGGAAUUUUGGACAAUGGGCGAAAGCCUGAUCCAGCAAUGCCGCGUGUGUGAAGAAGGCCUUCGGGCUGUAAAGCACUUUUGUCCGGAAAGAAAUGGCUCUGGUUAAUACCUGGGGUCGAUGACGGUGCCGGAAGAAUAAGGACCGGCUAACUACGUGCCAGCAGCCGCAGUAA